Peromyscus maniculatus bairdii (prairie deer mouse) is the source of this 658-nucleotide non-coding RNA. The record is from RefSeq and is a predicted model, not a curated record. Lineage: Eukaryota; Metazoa; Chordata; Mammalia; Rodentia; Cricetidae.
AACCACGUCACCACAAACGCCGCCGUGGCCUCUGACCCCGCGCGCGACGGCGGCGCGGCAGGGACAGAAUUGCUCGCGCGCGCGGCCCCGGGGGGUGGGGCGGGGCCGGCGUGGGGAAGGGGGCGGGCUUCAUUUUGUUAACAGGCAUUUAACAGAGAGGAUGGUACGACAUGGUGGGGGGCUGCCUGCAGGGUAUCGCCCUCGUUCGCGGACUGCGGGGAGCUUGUUCGGUUCCGGCCGGGGGUGCAUUUGCGUGUCACGGUGUGAGAGAGUAAGGAGGGCACUAUUUUUCGUUUAUUUUGGCUGGGAGUUGUGGUUUGUUUGGAGACAGGGUCUCGGGAACCGCAGCCUGGCUUCGUGGUCACUAGGGAGCCCCACUGUAGGUUCCAACUGUGUUGCCUGGCCUGACUUCAAGCCAUGGCUGGGAAAAAAUAAGUCCAAAACUGGGUGUGGUGGCGCACCACUUUCAUCCCAGCGCUCAGAGGCUGAAGCAGACGGGGUGUACCAUGACCCGAACCAACCUAGCAAGCGCACCGAAGAUGAUGGGCUGAGCUCUCAACUUGCUGCCCUGCCUGCCCAUUGCUGCCCUGUGCUCCCGGGCUAUCGUGGACUCUAACCCUUAGGAACCGUAAACCAAAAUAAACUCUUUCUUCCAUAA